This 468-nucleotide ribosomal RNA is filed under the name uncultured bacterium. Its description in RNAcentral is "partial 16S ribosomal RNA". It matches the Rfam family "Bacterial small subunit ribosomal RNA", at positions 28 to 507 of the family's 1533-position model. The record is from RNAcentral.
GACGAACGCUGGCGGCGUGCUUAACACAUGCAAGUCGAACGGAAAGGCCCUGCUUUUGUGGGGUGAUCGAGUGGCGAACGGGUGAGUAACACGUGAGUAACCUGCCCUUGACUUUGGGAUAACUUCAGGAAACUGGGGCUAAUACCGGAUAGGAGCUCCUGCUGCAUGGUGGGGGUUGGAAAGUUUCGGCGGUUGGGGAUGGACUCGCGGCUUAUCAGCUUGUUGGUGGGGUAGUGGCUUACCAAGGCUUUGACGGGUAGCCGGCCUGAGAGGGUGACCGGCCACAUUGGGACUGAGAUACGGCCCAGACUCCUACGGGAGGCAGCAGUGGGGAAUAUUGCACAAUGGGCAGAAGCCUGAUGCAGCAACGCCGCGUGCGGGAUGACGGCCUUCGGGUUGUAAACCGCUUUCGCCUGUGACGAAGCGUGAGUGACGGUAAUGGGUAAAGAAGCACCGGCUAACUACGUG